UCAUCCAACCACUAGUGCCGUUACUACUACCACUAGCUUACUGUGUUUGGAGCUCGGCCGUGCAACCGGUUCAACAGACAGGUUAAGAAAUCUGGAAAUAGCCACUCUGCUGCUAAGUGGAGAAUCGAUCCAAGGGUAGAAUUUUACGAGUGGGAAAGGCCAAGAAUGGCACCUCCAACAGAUGUGACAGCAGCACGGGAGGAGUCAGGGCGAAGCCCUACUGUUUCCCACCGCCAGGGCCACCCUAUGUUGUGCCAAGCGCCACCACCCAGAGGAUAGGGGUCAGAUGCCUGAGCGUCUCAGGGGCAGUGAGGCCUGCGGGGCUGGGCCAAACCACAACCCGAAGACCUGGCGCAGCUCUGCGGCCUUGGAAAGCGCGCGGGGUCCCACUGAGAGUCUGCGAAACUAGCACCUGGGGAGCCUGUGGCCAGCACAGUUCCAGACAAGAGCCCUCUUCCAUAACGGGGGAGGCUGAGGCAGGGGGCGUCUAGGUUAGUCUGGCUCCCUCAUUCGGGGCAGGCAGGCAGGCAGGCAGGAGCCGGGCCGCGCGGAGAAAGUAA
This is a long non-coding RNA of Canis lupus familiaris (dog), 560 nucleotides long. RefSeq lists it as uncharacterized. The transcript has 3 exons. The record is from RefSeq and is a predicted model, not a curated record. NCBI's taxonomy places the organism in Eukaryota, Metazoa, Chordata, Mammalia, Carnivora, Canidae.